AAUAGUGGUAAUAAUAAUAAUAAUAUGUAUAACACAGGGUGUUUUGUCAUUCCCUGUUCCCAACAGAGAAUAUCUGAGAAAUUUUCAUGGUUGACUUGGAACUCAAAAGUGCUGAAAGCCAGGCAGCAAGUCCCAGGAGGAGAGGAAUGAGUUAAUGAAGAAGGAGGAGUUUGAUUCUUCAGAGGAGAAAUUCUGACUGGAUUAAAGGAAGUGGCAACACUCCCAACAUUUUUAUUAAGGAAAUAGGAACAAAAUUCUCACAGCCUUCAAACAGAGCACAAUUCAGCACUGUACAUCAGGGAUCUGGUGCGAAGAGGUCUGGCUCCUCUCUGAGCUGAGCGGAGGCCUGCCAGGUUCACUAAGCAGCUGAUCUACACAUUUGGAACUUAACGGUGUUUGAUGAAGUAUAUCACGAGAGGCGUGGAGACAAGGGGUUACUCAACUGGUCUCACUACUGAACUGUUCUUACACCUCCAUCCAUACCAGCAUACCACCAGUGCCUGAGCGGGAGACAGUGAGCCCAUCAUUCCCUUUGCCCCUAUCUCCUUAUGUGCCUCUUUCUUGGAUGCUGGAUCUGCAGUUCCCAGGUCUACUAGAAAUUGUCAAAUCUUGGAAGUCCUUCUUGAGUGUGUCAGUGAGAUCAGGAGCUACAUGGUCACCCAACAGGAUAACCAGAGAGCCACACACUCUCCAAACAUCUACCACUUGAAAGGCAGUCAUUCAGCUGGAGAAACACCGACCUGACAGUCCGAAGAUCAGCCUUUUAUUCCUGUGCCUGAGUUUGGAGUUCUCAAUAAUUGUGUAUAAUUUCUUUUCUUUUGCAUUUCCUAAAUCCCUCAUCUCCUCCAUGACACUUCUUUCUUUUCUGAAUUUUAAGCCAUUCAUGACAAAAUUCUGACUGCUAGCAAUGGUUCU
RNAcentral lists this long non-coding RNA (915 nucleotides) under Numida meleagris (helmeted guineafowl). Its description in RNAcentral is "lncRNA (ENSNMEG00000010187.1)". The record is from RNAcentral. Lineage: Eukaryota; Metazoa; Chordata; Aves; Galliformes; Numididae.